Molecule: ribosomal RNA, 253 nt
Filed under: uncultured bacterium
Lineage: Bacteria
Description: partial 16S ribosomal RNA
Rfam family: Bacterial small subunit ribosomal RNA
Source: RNAcentral
UACGAAGGGUGCAAGCGUUACUCGGAAUUACUGGGCGUAAAGGGUGCGUAGGUGGUUGUUUAAGUCUGCUGUGAAAGCCCCGGGCUCAACCUGGGAAUGGCAGUGGAUACUGGACAGCUAGAGUGCGGUAGAGGGUAGUGGAAUUCCCAGUGUAGCAGUGAAAUGCGUAGAGAUCGGGAGGAACACCAGUGGCGAAGGCGGCUACCUGGACCAGCACUGACACUGAAGCACGAAAGCGUGGGGAGCAAACAGG